Lycium barbarum (goji berry) is the source of this 824-nucleotide long non-coding RNA. RefSeq lists it as uncharacterized. NCBI's taxonomy places the organism in Eukaryota, Viridiplantae, Streptophyta, Magnoliopsida, Solanales, Solanaceae. The transcript has 2 exons. The record is from RefSeq and is a predicted model, not a curated record.
ACCAUCAUGUGAGCCACAACAAAUUCGUUAUUUGUCCCCUUCAAAACACAUAAAGGGACCAACAAAAAUCGAAUAAAAAGGAAACAGCUCAUGUUAAUAAAGUAAGCAUUUGAUUUUCUUUGCUCUGAAGUAUACCCCCAUUAUAAAAGCUGAAAAAGAAAAAGGCUGAGAAUAAUAUAUUUAUUAGUUUUAUUUUAGUAUUAAGGUCGAAGAUAACUUUGAAACAAUUAAAGGAUGAAGUUGCCAUUACUGAUAGUUAUUCUCCUCCUUCAUAGCCAUCUUCUUCAAGUUUUCUCAUUAUCCUCUCGAUUUCUCCUUCAUUCAGACAAUGAAGUAGUGACGAUCGAUAAACGUGGAGGCGCCGGAGCCAGUGGACACGCUAGUGCCCACGGCGGCUCCUCAGGAGGACGAGCAUCGGGGGGACGCGGCGGCGGGGGUUCUAGAAAGUCACCUAAAACUGGCAAUGCAGGUAAUAAUAUUCCACUGUAUGCAGGUGCAGCAGGAGCUGCAGGAGCUAUGAACCAUCACAAUUACAACAGACCCAAUCGUAACGUUGGGACUACCCUCAACUGCAUUUGUUUUUCUUCCUUGUUUUUUUUAUCAUCUGCAGUAUACUUGUUAUGAUGUUGUAAUUAUAUGGUACCCCUUUGAAAGUAGCGUUUGUAAUUAAAUCAUGUUAAUAUGAGAGUCCAAGGCGAAAAAGGGAAUGUAAUUAAUGUUAAUACCGUUAUUGUGCAAUGGGGUUGCAUUAGUUGGUUUGAUAAUUUGCUCUUUCAAGAGGAACAUUUUGUUGAAGGAACUUUGAAGUGCCUUUUAACUGUUAA